UACGUAGGGUGCGAGCGUUAAUCGGAAUUACUGGGCGUAAAGCGUGCGCAGGCGGUUUUGCAAGCCGGAUGUGAAAUCCCCGGGCUCAACCUGGGAAUGGCAUUUGGGACUGCAAGGCUCGAGUGCGGCAGAGGAGACUGGAAUUCCUGGUGUAGCAGUGAAAUGCGUAGAUAUCAGGAGGAAUACCGAUGGCGAAGGCAGGUCUCUGGGCUGACACUGACGCUCAUGCACGAAAGCGUGGGGAGCAAACGGG
RNAcentral lists this ribosomal RNA (253 nucleotides) under uncultured bacterium. Its description in RNAcentral is "partial 16S ribosomal RNA". It matches the Rfam family "Bacterial small subunit ribosomal RNA", at positions 524 to 776 of the family's 1533-position model. The record is from RNAcentral.